GAUGAACGCUAGCUACAGGCUUAACACAUGCAAGUCGAGGGGCAGCAUGAACUUAGCUUGCUAAGUUUGAUGGCGACCGGCGCACGGGUGAGUAACACGUAUCCAACCUGCCGAUGACUCGGGGAUAGCCUUUCGAAAGAAAGAUUAAUACCCGAUGGCAUAGUUCUUCCGCAUGGUAGAACUAUUAAAGAAUUUCGGUCAUCGAUGGGGAUGCGUUCCAUUAGGUUGUUGGCGGGGUAACGGCCCACCAAGCCUUCGAUGGAUAGGGGUUCUGAGAGGAAGGUCCCCCACAUUGGAACUGAGACACGGUCCAAACUCCUACGGGAGGCAGCAGUGAGGAAUAUUGGUCAAUGGACGAGAGUCUGAACCAGCCAAGUAGCGUGAAGGAUGACUGCCCUAUGGGUUGUAAACUUCUUUUAUACGGGAAUAAAGUGAGGCACGUGUGCCUUUUUGUAUGUACCGUAUGAAUAAGGAUCGGCUAACUCCGUGCCAGCAGCCGCGGUAAUACGGAGGAUCCGAGCGUUAUCCGGAUUUAUUGGGUUUAAAGGGAGCGUAGGCGGACGCUUAAGUCAGUUGUGAAAGUUUGCGGCUCAACCGUAAAAUUGCAGUUGAUACUGGGUGUCUUGAGUACAGUAGAGGCAGGCGGAAUUCGUGGUGUAGCGGUGAAAUGCUUAGAUAUCACGAAGAACUCCGAUUGCGAAGGCAGCCUGCUGGACUGUAACUGACGCUGAUGCUCGAAAGUGUGGGUAUCAAACAGGAUUAGAUACCCUGGUAGUCCACACAGUAAACGAUGAAUACUCGCUGUUUGCGAUAUACAGUAAGCGGCCAAGCGAAAGCGUUAAGUAUUCCACCUGGGGAGUACGCCGGCAACGGUGAAACUCAAAGGAAUUGACGGGGGCCCGCACAAGCGGAGGAACAUGUGGUUUAAUUCGAUGAUACGCGAGGAACCUUACCCGGGCUUGAAUUGCAACUGAAUGAUGUGGAGACAUGUCAGCCGCAAGGCAGUUGUGAAGGUGCUGCAUGGUUGUCGUCAGCUCGUGCCGUGAGGUGUCGGCUUAAGUGCCAUAACGAGCGCAACCCUUAUCGAUAGUUACCAUCAGGUUAUGCUGGGGACUCUGUCGAGACUGCCGUCGUAAGAUGUGAGGAAGGUGGGGAUGACGUCAAAUCAGCACGGCCCUUACGUCCGGGGCUACACACGUGUUACAAUGGGGGGUACAGAAGGCAGCUACACGGCGACGUGAUGCUAAUCCCGAAAGCCUCUCUCAGUUCGGAUUGGAGUCUGCAAACCCGACUCCUUGAAAGCUGGAUUCGCUAGUAAUCGCGCUUCGGCCUCGGCGCGGUGAAUUACGUUUCCCGGGCCCA
RNAcentral lists this ribosomal RNA (1362 nucleotides) under uncultured bacterium. RNAcentral describes it as "bacterial SSU rRNA". It matches the Rfam family "Bacterial small subunit ribosomal RNA", at positions 28 to 1382 of the family's 1533-position model. The record is from RNAcentral.